RNAcentral lists this ribosomal RNA (515 nucleotides) under uncultured bacterium. Its description in RNAcentral is "partial 16S ribosomal RNA". It matches the Rfam family "Bacterial small subunit ribosomal RNA", at positions 28 to 523 of the family's 1533-position model. The record is from RNAcentral.
GAUGAACGCUGGCGGCGUGCCUAAUACAUGCAAGUCGAGCGAAUGGAUUAAGAGCUUGCUCUUAUGAAGUUAGCGGCGGACGGGUGAGUAACACGUGGGUAACCUGCCCAUAAGACUGGGAUAACUCCGGGAAACCGGGGCUAAUACCGGAUAACAUUUUGAACCGCAUGGUUCGAAAUUGAAAGGCGGCUUCGGCUGUCACUUAUGGAUGGACCCGCGUCGCAUGAGCUGGUUGGUGAGGUAACGGCUGACCAAGGGAACGAUGCGUAGCCGACCUGAGAGGGUGAUCGGCCACACUGGGACUGAGAAACGGCCCAGACUCCUACGGGAGGCAGCAGUAGGGAAUCUUCCGCAAUGGACGAAAGUCUGACGGAGCAACGCCGCGUGAGUGAUGAAGGCUUUCGGGUCGUAAAACUCUGUUGUUAGGGAAGAACAAGUGCUAGUUGAAUAAGCUGACACCUUGACGGUACCUAACCAGAAAGCCACGGCUAACUACGUGCCAGCCGCCGCAGUAA